This 467-nucleotide ribosomal RNA is filed under the name uncultured bacterium. Its description in RNAcentral is "partial 16S ribosomal RNA". It matches the Rfam family "Bacterial small subunit ribosomal RNA", at positions 28 to 506 of the family's 1533-position model. The record is from RNAcentral.
GACGAACGCUGGCGGCGUGCUUAACACAUGCCAGUCGAACGGAAAGGCCCUGCUUUUGUGGGGUGCUCGAGUGGCGAACGGGUGAGUAACACGUGAGUAACCUGCCCUUGACUUUGGGAUAACUUCAGGAAACUGGGGCUAAUACCGGAUAGGAGCUCCUGCUGCAUGGUGGGGGUUGGAAAGUUUCGGCGGUUGGGGAUGGACUCGCGGCUUAUCAGCUUGUUGGUGGGGUAGUGGCUUACCAAGGCUUUGACGGGUAGCCGGCCUGAGAGGGUGACCGGCCACAUUGGGACUGAGAUACGGCCCAGACUCCUACGGGAGGCAGCGGUGGGGAAUAUUGCACAAUGGGCGGAAGCCUGAUGCAGCAACGCCGCGUGCGGGAUGACGGCCUUCGGGUUGUAAACCGCUUUCGCCUGUGACGAAGCGUGAGUGACGGUAAUGGGUAAAGAAGCACCGGCUAACUACGU